Molecule: transfer RNA, 73 nt
Filed under: Bos taurus (domestic cattle)
Lineage: Eukaryota; Metazoa; Chordata; Mammalia; Artiodactyla; Bovidae
Also listed under: 4 other names
Rfam family: tRNA
About the family: Transfer RNA (tRNA) molecules are approximately 80 nucleotides in length. Their secondary structure includes four short double-helical elements and three loops (D, anti-codon, and T loops). Further hydrogen bonds mediate the characteristic L-shaped molecular structure. tRNAs have two regions of fundamental functional importance: the anti-codon, which is responsible for specific mRNA codon recognition, and the 3' end, to which the tRNAs corresponding amino acid is attached (by aminoacyl-tRNA synthetases). tRNAs cope with the degeneracy of the genetic code in two manners: having more than one tRNA (with a specific anti-codon) for a particular amino acid; and 'wobble' base-pairing, i.e. permitting non-standard base-pairing at the 3rd anti-codon position.
Source: Rfam by way of RNAcentral
UCCCUGGUGGCUUAGCUGGUAAAGAAUCUGCCUGCAAUGCAGGAGACCCUGGUUCUAUAUCUAGGUUGGGAAG